UACGUAGGCAGCGAGCGUUGUUCGGAGUUACUGGGCGUAAAGAGUGCGUAGGCGGUUUUCUAAGUUUGGUGUGAAAUCUCCCGGCUUAACUGGGAGGGUGCGCCGAAGACUGGAAGGCUAGAGUAUGGGAGAGGUAAGCGGAAUUCCUGGUGUAGCGGUGAAAUGCGUAGAUAUCUGAAGGAACAUCAGUGGCGAAAGCGACUUCCUGGACCAAUACUGACGCUCAUGUGCGAAAGCGUGGGGAGCAAACAGG
RNAcentral lists this ribosomal RNA (253 nucleotides) under uncultured bacterium. RNAcentral describes it as "partial 16S ribosomal RNA". It matches the Rfam family "Bacterial small subunit ribosomal RNA", at positions 524 to 776 of the family's 1533-position model. The record is from RNAcentral.